This is a long non-coding RNA of Ailuropoda melanoleuca (giant panda), 350 nucleotides long. RefSeq lists it as uncharacterized. The transcript has 3 exons. The record is from RefSeq and is a predicted model, not a curated record. Lineage: Eukaryota; Metazoa; Chordata; Mammalia; Carnivora; Ursidae.
CAGGAUCACACCCUGAGCCGAAGGCAGACCCUCAACGACUGAGCCACCCAGGAGCCCCGAAUAAAAAAAGAAAAAAGAAAAUGGUAGAUUCUGGAAGCCAAUCCAUCCAGUGAGGAUUUUUACUUUCAAACAACAAAGGAAGAGGAACCAGUCUGAGUAGGGUGGUGUUUAUUCAAAAUCAUCUUGGGAGAAGCCUACAGAAUAAAAAGAUGGAAGACUGACAGUGUGGUCUGUAAUACAUCCACUGAUGAAAAAAUGCAAGCGCUCUGACUGUAAAACUGGAUAAAAAUAAUAAUAAAAAAAUACUGAGGCCUGGAUAAGUAUUGGUUAUAUGUGGAAAUACUGUGAAG